This 70-nucleotide transfer RNA is filed under the name Kaloula baleata (brown bullfrog). RNAcentral's name for it is "tRNA-Arg". It matches the Rfam family "tRNA". From Rfam's summary of the family: Transfer RNA (tRNA) molecules are approximately 80 nucleotides in length. Their secondary structure includes four short double-helical elements and three loops (D, anti-codon, and T loops). Further hydrogen bonds mediate the characteristic L-shaped molecular structure. tRNAs have two regions of fundamental functional importance: the anti-codon, which is responsible for specific mRNA codon recognition, and the 3' end, to which the tRNAs corresponding amino acid is attached (by aminoacyl-tRNA synthetases). tRNAs cope with the degeneracy of the genetic code in two manners: having more than one tRNA (with a specific anti-codon) for a particular amino acid; and 'wobble' base-pairing, i.e. permitting non-standard base-pairing at the 3rd anti-codon position. The record is from RNAcentral. Lineage: Eukaryota; Metazoa; Chordata; Amphibia; Anura; Microhylidae.
GAGCGGCUAGUCUAACUCAAGACAGUUGAUUUCGGCUCAACUAAUUAUGGUUAAACCCCAUAGCUGCUCU